RNAcentral lists this ribosomal RNA (497 nucleotides) under uncultured bacterium. RNAcentral's name for it is "partial 16S ribosomal RNA". It matches the Rfam family "Bacterial small subunit ribosomal RNA", at positions 28 to 507 of the family's 1533-position model. The record is from RNAcentral.
GAUGAACGCUGGCGGCGUGCCUAAUACAUGCAAGUCGAGCGAACAGACGAGGAGCUUGCUCCUCUGACGUUAGCGGCGGACGGGUGAGUAACACGUGGAUAACCUACCUAUAAGACUGGGAUAACUUCGGGAAACCGGAGCUAAUACCGGAUAAUAUAUUGAACCGCAUGGUUCAAUAGUGAAAGACGGUUUUGCUGUCACUUAUAGCUGGAUCCGCGCCGCAUUAGCUAGUUGGUAAGGUAACGGCUUACCAAGGCAACGAUGCGUAGCCGACCUGAGAGGGUGAUCGGCCACACUGGAACUGAGACACGGUCCAGACUCCUACGGGAGGCAGCAGUAGGGAAUCUUCCGCAAUGGGCGAAAGCCUGACGGAGCAACGCCGCGUGAGUGAUGAAGGUCUUCGGAUCGUAAAACUCUUUUAUUAGGGAAGAACAACUGUGGAAGUAACUAUGCACGUCUUGACGGUACCUAAUCAGAAAGCCACGGCUAACUACGUG